UACGAAGGGGGCUAGCGUUGCUCGGAAUCACUGGGCGUAAAGCGCGCGCAGGCGGCCCUUUAAGUCCGUCGGUCAAAUGCCGGGGCUCAACCCCGAUGCAUGCCGAGGAUACUGGAGGGCUGGAGACACGUAGAGGCAAGCGGAAUUCCGGGUGUAGCGGUGGAAUGCGUAGAGAUCCGGAAGAACACCGGAGGCGAAGGCGGCUUGCUGGGCGUGAUCUGACGCUGAGGCGCGAAAGCGUGGGGAGCGAACAGG
This 255-nucleotide ribosomal RNA is filed under the name uncultured bacterium. Its description in RNAcentral is "partial 16S ribosomal RNA". It matches the Rfam family "Bacterial small subunit ribosomal RNA", at positions 524 to 776 of the family's 1533-position model. The record is from RNAcentral.